AUUGAACGCUGGCGGUAGGCCUAACACAUGCAAGUCGAAUGGUAACAGAGAACAACUUGCUUCUUACCUGAAGCGAGUGGGGCGGGGGUGUAAAAUACGGGGAACUGUAUGUUGGCGGGGGGGAACUAGUGGAAAAAGUAGCUCAAAUACCGUAUCGUACCUACGCCAAAAAGGAGGGGCUCUUGGGACCUUGCGCUCAGGUGUGACCAGAUGGGAUUAGCUAGUAGGUGGGGUAAAGGCGCACCAAGGCGACGAUCCCUAGCUGGUCUGAGAGGAUGACCAGCCACACUGGAACUGAGACACGGUCCAGACUCCUACGGGAGGCAGCAGUGGGGAAUAUUGGACAAUGGGCGCAAGCCUGAUCCAGCCAUGCCGCGUGGAUGAAGAAGGCCUUCGGGUUGUAAAGUACUUUCGGUGGGGAAGAAGAGAGGAAGGUUAAUACCUCGGCGUACUGACGGUACCCAAAGAAGAAGCACCGGCUAACUCCGUG
Molecule: ribosomal RNA, 490 nt
Filed under: uncultured bacterium
Lineage: Bacteria
Description: partial 16S ribosomal RNA
Rfam family: Bacterial small subunit ribosomal RNA
Source: RNAcentral